GCCGAUGUAGCUCAGUUGGCAGAGCACAGCUUUCGUAAAGCUGGGGUCGUGAGUUCGAAUCUCACCAUCGGCA
Molecule: transfer RNA, 73 nt
Filed under: Limihaloglobus sulfuriphilus
Lineage: Bacteria; Pseudomonadati; Planctomycetota; Phycisphaerae; Sedimentisphaerales; Sedimentisphaeraceae
Description: Phycisphaerae bacterium SM-Chi-D1 tRNA
Rfam family: tRNA
About the family: Transfer RNA (tRNA) molecules are approximately 80 nucleotides in length. Their secondary structure includes four short double-helical elements and three loops (D, anti-codon, and T loops). Further hydrogen bonds mediate the characteristic L-shaped molecular structure. tRNAs have two regions of fundamental functional importance: the anti-codon, which is responsible for specific mRNA codon recognition, and the 3' end, to which the tRNAs corresponding amino acid is attached (by aminoacyl-tRNA synthetases). tRNAs cope with the degeneracy of the genetic code in two manners: having more than one tRNA (with a specific anti-codon) for a particular amino acid; and 'wobble' base-pairing, i.e. permitting non-standard base-pairing at the 3rd anti-codon position.
Source: Rfam by way of RNAcentral